CCCUUAGAUGUUCUGGGCCGCACGCACGCUACACUGAUGAAUGCAACGAGCUCUACCCUUGACCGAAAGGCCCGGGUAAACUUGUGAAACUUCAUCGUGAUGGGGAUAGAUUAUUGCAAUUAUUAAUCUUCAACGAGGAAUUCCUAGUAAGCGCGAGUCAUCAGCUCGCGUUGAUUACGUCCCUGCCCUUUGUACACACCGCCCGUCGCUCCUACCGAUUGAAUGGUCCGGUGAAAUCUUCGGAUUGCUGACCAAGAUCCAGCAAUGGAGCUUGGUUGCGAGAAGUUGAUUAAACCUUAUUAUUUAGAGGAAGGAGAAGUCGUAACA
Molecule: ribosomal RNA, 327 nt
Filed under: uncultured eukaryote
Lineage: Eukaryota
Description: partial 18S ribosomal RNA
Rfam family: Eukaryotic small subunit ribosomal RNA
Source: RNAcentral